This 253-nucleotide ribosomal RNA is filed under the name uncultured bacterium. RNAcentral describes it as "partial 16S ribosomal RNA". It matches the Rfam family "Bacterial small subunit ribosomal RNA", at positions 524 to 776 of the family's 1533-position model. The record is from RNAcentral.
UACGUAGGGGGCCAGCGUUGUUCGGAAUUACUGGGUGUAAAGGGUUCGUAGGCGGUGUGGCAAGUCGGGAGUGAAAUCUCUGGGCUCAACUCAGAGACUGCUUCCGAAACUGCUGUGCUGGAGUGUGGGAGAGGCGCGUGGAAUUGCAGGUGUAGCGGUGAAAUGCGUAGAUAUCUGCAGGAACACCCGUGGCGAAAGCGGCGCGCUGGACCACUACUGACGCUGAGGAACGAAAGCUAGGGGAGCAAACGGG